Dermacentor andersoni is the source of this 384-nucleotide non-coding RNA. Lineage: Eukaryota; Metazoa; Arthropoda; Arachnida; Ixodida; Ixodidae. The record is from RefSeq and is a predicted model, not a curated record.
GUACUGAGGAUUGCCCAUGAGCUCCGCGAGACAUUUUUGGGUCAAGUGCGCUGGCUGGGCUGGAUGGACAGAGAAACCAAGGAAGUCGCUAUGAGGAAGAUUAAAGCCAUGAAGAUAGAAAUUUCUGACGGGAAGACAUCAGACGACGGGGUUGUUGACGUGUGGCAUGACGACUUUCCUUUUGCUGGGAUAGAGUUGAACUUCAGGCGGAAUGCGACUGCGAAAUUACUUAAGUGGCUCCUAAGAAAUGACACGGGUGAUGACUGCAAAGGGCAUGGGUGAGCGGGACAUUUUUGUCAAGCAACAACUUCUGAACACCGCAGUGACUGGCAAACUUUUGUAUCUUGUACGAGCCUCCGUGUUUCUGUCAGUUCUAAUUACUUU